RNAcentral lists this ribosomal RNA (460 nucleotides) under uncultured bacterium. Its description in RNAcentral is "bacterial SSU rRNA". It matches the Rfam family "Bacterial small subunit ribosomal RNA", at positions 29 to 507 of the family's 1533-position model. The record is from RNAcentral.
AUUGAACGCUGGCGGCAUGCUUUACACAUGCAAGUCGAACGGCAGCACGGGCUUCGGCCUGGUGGCGAGUGGCGAACGGGUGAGUAAUACAUCGGAACGUGCCCAAUCGUGGGGGAUAACGUAGCGAAAGUUACGCUAAUACCGCAUACGAUCUACGGAUGAAAGCGGGGGAUCGCAAGACCUCGCGCGAAUGGAGCGGCCGAUGUCAGAUUAGGUAGUUGGUGGGGUAAAGGCUCACCAAGCCAACGAUCUGUAGCUGGUCUGAGAGGACGACCAGCCACACUGGAACUGAGACACGGCCCAGACUCCUACGGGGGGCAGCAGUAGGGAAUUUUCGGCAAUGGGCGAAAGCCUGACCGAGCGACGCCGCGUGAGGGACGAAGGCCUUCGGGUUGUAAACCUCUGUCUGGGGGGAUGAGAACGGACGGUACCCCCGGAGGAAGCCCCGGCUAACUACGUG